GCUUUCGUUGGUAGUGUAUUGGACUACCAUGGCUCUCACGGGUAACAGGGAAUUAGGGUUCGAUUCUGGAGAAGGAGCCUGAGAAACGGCUACUACAUCUACGGAAGGCAGCAGGCGCGUAAAUUACCCAAUCCUGACUCAGGGAGGUGGUGACAAGAUAUAACAACGCAAUUUAAUUGUGAUUGUAGUGAGGGUAUUCCAAACCGAACCACUAGUACGAUUAGAGGGCAAG
This 232-nucleotide ribosomal RNA is filed under the name uncultured rumen protozoa. Its description in RNAcentral is "partial 18S ribosomal RNA". It matches the Rfam family "Eukaryotic small subunit ribosomal RNA", at positions 318 to 559 of the family's 1831-position model. The record is from RNAcentral.